Molecule: long non-coding RNA, 1776 nt
Filed under: Homo sapiens (human)
Lineage: Eukaryota; Metazoa; Chordata; Mammalia; Primates; Hominidae
Description: HSALNT0328405
Source: RNAcentral
ACAAUAGAAGUGGUAUUAAAUUUUUAUUGCAGUAAAACUUUAAGAGGGUGGGAGGGCAAACUCUCAUCAGACAUAAAUAAAAUGUGGCUAGAACCUAGAAAGUUGAUUGCUUAAAUGCUUUACAUCCAUUGCAAGGAAUAAAAAGGGUUACUAGUACACAAAAGAAAAGUCUUAGUGUACCAUUAUUUCAUAUUGAUAUUCAAAUGGAGUUUGUAGUUCAGCACACACAGUUGGCUGUGGAGAAGUUGAUGAUGGCUGUUCUUCUUUGUCACAGUAGUCAUUUUGUAUUUCUUAGAUUGACAUCCUAAAUUAGGAACCACUUGGCUAGAAAUAGCUAGGGUUCUACUGGGGAGAGGAUUUAAUUGGGAAUAUGCUCUUGGAACUUCUGAAUUUGAAGAAGUGUGGUUGUUGAAAGCAUAUCAAGUAUUUGGAAAGUAAUAUUUGCCAACCAUGUGAAAUCAACAUUAUUCCUGGGCUGGAGAUUGAGCUAUUUGGGUGCCAGGAACCCGUUGUUUCUCUUGCUUUAAAUUGCUUAACCUUUCUUGAUUUCUUCAGAUAUAAAAGUUAUCAUACUUUUCAUUAUUUAGAUCACAGAAUCUUGUGAGAACAGAAUAGAAUAAUGCAGGUCUAAGAUUCUUCAUUUGCUUUCAUUACUUAUAGGCUGAAAUCUCAAUUCUUUUGGCAAACUCAUGGUGGCUGAAAGCACGGUUUUUAGAGUUAGAUAAAUGCUCUGAGCCCAGAUUCUGACUCUGCCACACACAGCUAUGGCCUUGGACAGUUUACUUGACCUCUCCAAUCUUCAAAUUUCUUACUUAUAAAAUGGAGAUAAUGAUAAUCUCUUCCUGAGUUGGUUGGUGCGAGAGUUAUGUUGGGUAAUGUAUUUACAGUGUAAGCACAGCACUUCAUGCAUUAUCUGUGUUCAGCAGUGAUAGCUGCUGGUAUCCUCAUCACCAUGACACAUAAGGCCUUUGUUACCUGGUCUUUCCAACUUCAUCUGGCAUCAUUACCCCUAUCAAUUUAUCCUUGUUCAUCCUGAAUAUAUUUCUCUAUUGUAACACUCCUCACUCUAUUGUAACACUCCUUACCUCCUGACUUUUAUUCACCCACACCAUGCCCCAGUUUGCCUAACCAAUGUUCUUAAACAGGUUUGAUCUUACUAAAGUCUAUAUCUCUAUUGCUAUGUAUAGUCUUGCUAUUGAAAAUCCUAUUCAAAGCUGCUAUUGUUGAUUUUAUUCUGUGCUCUUCUGAGAAGUCCUACAGCUUGUAAAGAUAAACUUGAGUUGUUUAUGGAGAUGGUUUGUGUUGGAUGAGCUCUGUUCUCUUACUUACAACCCUACGACCAAUGGGCACAUGGUGUCAGCCACAUAGUGACAGAGUGGAGGGGCGGCAUGCGCUAAUGUUAGGAGGGUGUGUAGCCGAGUAUUUGACAUUGGCAUCAGGCCAGCUUACAAGUUUUUUCUUUUUGAGUGUACACAUAAAUGUUGACCAUUUGAGGAGUUAAAUGUUUGUUAUCUUCUGUGGUUACAAGUUCAUUCCAUAAAUGCCCAUGCUUAGGAGAAUCCCCAGAAAGAACAAAGGAAAAUGAUUUAGCAAUAAUCUCAUUAAUUUGGUCAAUGUAGACAUUCCAAUUGGCUAUAUCAUAUUCCUUUUAAAAUUUGAAUUGGCCAGGCACAGUGGCUCACACCUGUAAUCCCAGUACUCUGGGAGGUCGAGGCAGGCAGAUCACAAGGUCAGGAGUUCGAGACAGCAUGGCCAACAUGGUGAAACCCCGUCUCU